RNAcentral lists this ribosomal RNA (479 nucleotides) under uncultured bacterium. RNAcentral's name for it is "partial 16S ribosomal RNA". It matches the Rfam family "Bacterial small subunit ribosomal RNA", at positions 28 to 507 of the family's 1533-position model. The record is from RNAcentral.
GACGAACGCUGGCGGCGCGCUUAACACAUGCAAGUCGAGCGAUGAAAUUUCGACAGAUCCCUUCGGGGUGAAGAUGAAAUGGAUUAGCGGCGGACGGGUGAGUAACACGUGAGUAACCUGCCUUUGACAUUGGGUUAGCCUCGGGAAACUGGGAUUAAUACCAAAUGACACUAACUGAUCACAUGAUCAAUUAGUCAAAGAAAUUCGGUCAAAGAUGGACUCGCGGCUGAUUAGCUAGUUGGUGAGGUAACGGCCCACCAAGGCGACGAUCAGUAGCCGGCCUGAGAGGGUGAUCGGCCACAUUGGAACUGAGACACGGUCCAAACUCCUACGGGAGGCAGCAGUGGGGAAUAUUGCACAAUGGGGGAAACCCUGAUGCAGCGACGCCGCGUGAGCGAAGAAGGCCUUCGGGUCGUAAAGCUCUUUUAUGAGGGAAGAUAAUGACGGUACCUCAAGAAAAAGCCCCGGCUAACUACGUG